RNAcentral lists this long non-coding RNA (1107 nucleotides) under Pogona vitticeps (central bearded dragon). RNAcentral's name for it is "lncRNA (ENSPVIG00000018471.1)". Lineage: Eukaryota; Metazoa; Chordata; Lepidosauria; Squamata; Agamidae. The record is from RNAcentral.
AAGGUUUGGCUUCAGAUGUGGCCUUUCUAAAUCACUGAUUUCUUCCUUGUCUAGAUAUUGAGCUCAAGAGGCCAGUUGAGGGGUGAAAAUGCAAGGAAAUGGAGCUGAAGCCAAGGCUUGUGUUAAUUUAAAAACAAUAAAAACUAGCUUACUAAGCAGAAAACACAAAAGAUGAGAAAAUAAUGCUGAGAGUUAUGCCUGUGCCUUAAAGUCUGCAAAAUGGUGACAACCUAUCAGGGACCACUGCUGCUGCUGGACAAAGGAAGCCCAUGGCAGGCAGAGCUAGAGCCAAACAUCAACCGCCACUUUUGUGUUUUCCCACUUCUCCCUGUGCUCUGUUUCUUUCUCUCUCCCCACCACAUGCUUGGGAUACAAUUUAUGAGAAAACCAGUAUUUUUCUCUUUUCCUAUCCACUCAGUAGGCUGACAAGCUACAGACAGAUCACUCCUACCAGACAUUUGCAUUAACUGCUUGAAAAGGACUUUUGAAGGGAUGCUUAUGAUUGUAAACGACGCAACUCAGCUUAAAAUAUAGGUAUUUUCAUGGCCGACCUUGGAAUUUUGGCAAAUUCAGCUGGUUGCCUAGUUUGCUUUUAUGGCUGGCCGCUGAAGAUGUCCAGGGUGAACCUGAUCCUGUUCUGUUGCAAGGUUUUAAAGUGGUCUGUCAUACGUGAGUGUAUUUUUCUCUUGGAGGUCAGAACUAUUCCUCCUAGACUGAAGGAAUAUUCAAGAGGUAUCUUGUACUGAAAAGAUCUGUCAGGUUAUUGCCAAGACAUUUUCAGAAAGUGCAAAGUAUAUUGUAGAGGCUUUUCAAAUGUUGCGAGCUUUUAAAGCCUAGAGAAGUGUAUAAGCCUUCUUUCCACAGAUCAUGUUAUGGCAGUAUAAAUGGGAAGUCUUUCCCUCCAUCUGAAUUUGGUACCCUGCGGUUACUUUUGAGGGAAGAAGGGAAAAAAGAGAUGACUGCUAGCUGUAUCUUCACUUAGUUGUUUGACUCAUGCUGCAGAAAGAAUGAAAGAAAAGCCUACAUUUCUGCAGGCCUUUUUCUGAGUAUCUGUAUAGUCGGAUAUACACUCCACUUUUGGAAUAUGGUACUUUUUUUGGGGGGGGA